GAAAAGAGGCAAAGAUGACACGAAAAGAGGCAAAGAUGACACAGAAAGAGGCAAAGAUGACACAUAAAGAGGAAAAGGUGACACGAAAAGAGGCAAAGAUGACACAGGAAGAGGCAAAGAUGACAUGAAAGAGGCAAAGAUGACACGAAAAGAGGCAAAGAUGACACAUAAAGAGGCAAAGAUGGCACGUAAAGAGUCAAAGAUGGCACAAAAAGAGGCAAAGAUGGCACGUAAAGAGGCAAAGAUGACAGAAAGAGGCAAAGAUGACAGAAAGAGGCAAAGAUGGCACGUAAAGAGGCAAAGAUGACAGAAAGAGGCAAAGAUGGCACGUAAAGAGGCAAAGAUGACACAGAAAGAGGCAGAGAUGACACAGAAAGAGGCAAAGGUGACACGAAAAGAGGCAAAGAUGGCACGUAAAGAGGCAAAGAUGACACGAAAAGAGGCAAAGAUGACAGGAAGAGGCAAAGAUGACACAGGAAGAGGCAAAGAUGACACGAAAAGAGGCAAAGAUGACACAGGAAGAGGCAAAGAUGACACGAAAAGAGGCAAAGAUGACAGGAAGAGGCAAAGAUGACACAGGAAGAGGCAAAGAUGACACAUAAAGAGGCAAAGGUGACACGAAAAGAGGCAAAGAUGACACAGGAAGAGGCAAAGAUGACACAGAAAGAGGCAAAGAUGGCACAAAAAGAGGCAAAGAUGGCACGUAAAGAGGCAAAGAUGACACGAAAAGAGGCAAAGAUGACACAUAAAGAGGAAAAGGUGACAUGAAAAGAGGCAAAGAUGACACAGGAAGAGGCAAAGAUGACACGAAAAGAGGCAAAGAUGACACGAAAAGAGGCAAAGAUGACACAGAAAGAGGCAAAGAUGACACAUAAAGAGGAAAAGGUGACACGAAAAGAGGCAAAGAUGACACAGGAAGAGGCAAAGAUGACAUGAAAGAGGCAAAGAUGACACGAAAAGUGGCAAAGAUGACACAGAAAGAGGCAGAGAUGACACGAAAAGAGGCAGAGAUGACACGAAAAGAGGCAAAGAUGACACAUAAAGAGGCAAAGAUGGCACGUAAAGAGUCAAAGAUGGCACAAAAAGAGGCAAAGAUGGCACGUAAAGAGGCAAAGAUGACAGAAAGAGGCAAAGAUGACAGAAAGAGGCAAAGAUGGCACGUAAAGAGGCAAAGAUGACAGAAAGAGGCAAAGAUGGCACGUAAAGAGGCAAAGAUGACACAGAAAGAGGCAGAGAUGACACAGAAAGAGGCAAAGGUGACACGAAAAGAGGCAAAGAUGGCACGUAAAGAGGCAAAGAUGACACGAAAAGAGGCAAAGAUGACAGGAAGAGGCAAAGAUGACACAGGAAGAGGCAAAGAUGACACGAAAAGAGGCAAAGAUGACACAGGAAGAGGCAAAGAUGACACGAAAAGAGGCAAAGAUGACAGGAAGAGGCAAAGAUGACACAGGAAGAGGCAAAGAUGACACAUAAAGAGGCAAAGGUGACACGAAAAGAGGCAAAGAUGACACAGGAAGAGGCAAAGAUGACACAGAAAGAGGCAAAGAUGGCACAAAAAGAGGCAAAGAUGGCACGUAAAGAGGCAAAGAUGACACAUAA
This is a long non-coding RNA of Acanthochromis polyacanthus (spiny chromis), 1599 nucleotides long. RefSeq lists it as uncharacterized. The transcript is spliced from 3 exons. Lineage: Eukaryota; Metazoa; Chordata; Actinopteri; Pomacentridae. The record is from RefSeq and is a predicted model, not a curated record.